CCGCCUCCCGGACCAGCGUGGACGGGUUUAGCUCAGCCCGCGAUGGCUGCGGGUCGGGUCGGACCGGAUCCAGACGGUGAGAAACAAGUUUUAACCACCUUCCCAUGGCAUCUGACUUUUCAAGGAGGAGAAGAAUGCAUUUGAGCAGAAGCAGUGAGGUCCAUGGUGGGGAAAAUGAACCCAGCAGUCCUUCCUUCCUGGUAGCCUGAGUUCAGGAAAAGACCUCAUAUGAAGCCAGAAUGCCUCUGGACUUGCAGCUCUUUUUAACUGUAUUAAGUCCUAUUCAGACUUAAUGAUGAGCUCAGUGAGACUGGUCUAAGCAAUGCUGAAGAAGACAAGAGCAGAAUUGGAAGGCAGAAGCUAUUUCAGAACAGGAUUCUUCUUUUUUUCUGUGACACCCAAACAUGGAGACUUUAUAACUUCACUAGAUCCUGCCAUCAAUGACUGAGCCUGCUUGAAGUCUCCUUCCCAGUUACUGCCGAGAUGAGGAGGACAGCAGGAAGUACUGAAGGGGUUUUAAUGACAGUUAAUUUCAUCUAUUUAUCA
Long non-coding RNA from Calypte anna (Anna's hummingbird), 546 nucleotides. RefSeq lists it as uncharacterized. The transcript is spliced from 5 exons. NCBI's taxonomy places the organism in Eukaryota, Metazoa, Chordata, Aves, Apodiformes, Trochilidae. The record is from RefSeq and is a predicted model, not a curated record.